CUCACAAUGCUUUAUUUUACAUUAUCUUGAAAGGCUUUUUACUCACAAUUCUCACAAUUUUACAAAGCCUGCUGCAGCCGUUACAUCUCUCAAGGUCAAAGCCACCUCUCAAAAUCUCCAUCCAUGCCUUCAGUCGUUACAUCUCUCAAAAUCUCCAUCCAUGGCUUCAGCCGUUACAUCUCUCAAAGUCUCAAUUUCUCUCACAAUAUGACUUUCCAGUCUCAAUCUUUCCACAAAUCUCAAACAAUUCGUUGGUCUCUCUCGCUUCUUCUCAAACAAUCGGCGCCGAAUCUUCCCUCAAAUCUCAAACAAUCGGCUGUGUAAUUGGGAGAUUCAGUUUCUCUCUUUCAAUUUCCAUCUCACGAAUCAGUUUGUGAUGAACCAGUUUUCGGAGGAACCUCACUGCUAUGUCCGCGUCAUCUCCCGUAAGAGUAAAGAGGGAAGUUUUGUUACCAAAGGCCUUGAAAAGGUCGAACAGGAACUACUUGCAGCAGAGAAUGACGGUGUUGUAUCCUCAGGCUUUCGGAAGGAACUUGCAAAUCAGCAAUCAUGAUCAAACAAUUCACAAUGAUGGUUUUGAUCACCUGACUAACCUUGCAUAUUAUUAUUUAGAUGUCUUAUGUGUUUUAAACCCAAUGUAUAAAGUUGUGGAAUUGUUGAACUGGCUUUAACAGGUCUUAACAAGUUUCCUCCAUACUGCUGAGGCGGAAGUUAGGUCACUUAUCAACCUUUACACUGAAGUGGUGAGCUUUAAUUGUUAAUUUGAAUGCUUCUUAGACAAAUUUCUUUUGAUUUUCACCUUGUGAUCCAAGAUGAGAUCACUUAUUACGGCCUGCUCUAAAGUGGUGAGCAUAAGUGUUAUUUAUGAUGCGGCUUUGACCAAUUCCGUUGUUUGAUUUUAUUUUGUUCUUACUGGUCAAAAGCUGUGGAUAACUUUGAUAGCAAUGUGAUUCACAGGAUUUAGUAAGAGCAGUUGGUGCUUUUAUGUUGGGAGAUGUAUAGAAUUUUCUGGUUGAGCACUUAAGCUACUUAUUUUCUGGUAUUUCGCUGCUAAUUGAACUCUGCAAUUGUUGGUUGUGAUUUCAUGAGAACAUGCUUGAAGCUGCAGCUUGUACCAUAAGCAUUGAACUCAUGUCAUAAGCAUUAUUAUAAAUUCACUCAUGUCAUAAGAAUUCUUAUUGUAUGUUGUCUCUUUUUAAUUUUUCAUGUGAUAAACUAUGUAUGAUAAUUAGUGUGAUAAACUAAUUCAUUUUUAUCUUAUGUUGUCUUAGGCUUUUUAGUAGUGUCUUAGGCCUCUUAGUAUUGUGUGAUAAACUGAUGAUUGAAAUGAUUGACAAACUUAUUUAGUUUUCCACAAAAAUGUUAUGACUCCACACACUACUAAAUAUUUUAACUACAUAUAUAUAUGUUUGGUAUACUGUAACAGAUGUAUAAUGGGGAAUAUGCAAUUUUUGCUUUAUGCUUCUACAUAGCUUGCAUUUUGUAAUAGUCAAUUAGCACAUCAUUUCUUGAAACAAUCAAAGUAUUUAAUGUGAAUGAGACCCUUGUGAUCAUAUUGCCCUUCUCUUUGGACAACUGUGAGCCUGCAAAACCAUGGCAGAUGCUUCACCUCUAUGCAGUCCUCUAUACUACUGCCUUUGGGGCCACGGGGAUUAGGCCAUGCAUCUCUUCCUUUGGAGCAUAUCAAUUUGAUGAAAGAAGCAAGGACUACAAGGAGCAUCUCAAAAGAUUCUUAAACUCCUUCUACCUCUGAGUCACGGUUGGAACAAUCCUGGCAUUCACAGCAAAUAGUGUACAAUUAGAUAAAACACGGUUGGGGACCUGGGGUAGCCCAUUUGGUUCGUUAGCCAUAGCUAUGGGCAUGUCCAACCUGGUUUUCUUUCUCGGAACUCAUCUUUAGAGGCACAAGUUACCUGGUGGAAGCCCACUCCUGUUUCCGCCUUUAGGAAGAGAAAAGCUUUGUUUAGAGCAGCAAGACAGACGACUUGUACGAGCUUCCGAGCAAAAGAUCAGCCAUCAAGGGGAGCAGCAAGAUCGCACUUACUGAUGAUUUCAGAUAUUUGGACUCUGAAGUUGAAAGAAGAUGGCGUUGAUCCAAGCCCCUGGAGGCUCUUCAGGGUCACACAAGUUGAGAUAAAAAUCCUUCUGAAACUGGUCCCAAAUCCAGCUUGCACCAUUAUGCUCAAUCUUAUAUCAAAAAUAAAACCAAAGUAAAAUCUUGGCACUCAUGGCACUAAUAGUGCCAUAAGUGCCUAACUCGACCCGGCACGCGACCCGCGUGCCUGAUCCUACCCGAUCCGCCUCAUUAAGGGUAAAACAUCCAAAUCAAUAAAAAUGGCCAAAAUUUGUGUUUUUUCAA
Salvia miltiorrhiza (redroot sage) is the source of this 2359-nucleotide RNA transcript. It is a transcript of the gene named formin-like protein 3, with no coding region annotated. The transcript is spliced from 4 exons. The record is from RefSeq and is a predicted model, not a curated record. NCBI's taxonomy places the organism in Eukaryota, Viridiplantae, Streptophyta, Magnoliopsida, Lamiales, Lamiaceae.